AACGAACGCUGGCGGCAUGCCUAACACAUGCAAGUCGAACGAGACCUUCGGGUCUAGUGGCGCACGGGUGCGUAACGCGUGGGAACCUGCCUUUAGGUUCGGAAUAACUCCCCGAAAGGGGUGCUAAUACCGAAUAAUGUCUUCGGACCAAAGAUUUAUCGCCUUUAGAUGGGCCCGCGUAAGAUUAGGUAGUUGGUGGGGUAAAGGCCUACCAAGCCGACGAUCUUUAGCUGGUCUGAGAGGAUGAUCAGCCACACUGGGACUGAGACACGGCCCAGACUCCUACGGGAGGCAGCAGUGGGGAAUAUUGGACAAUGGGCGAAAGCCUGAUCCAGCAAUGCCGCGUGAGUGAUGAAGGCCUUAGGGUUGUAAAGCUCUUUUACCAGGGAUGAUAAUGACAGUACCUGGAGAAUAAGCUCCGGCUAACUCCGUGCCAGCAGCCGCGGUAAUACGGAGGGAGCUAGCGUUGUUCGGAAUUACUGGGCGUAAAGCGCACGUAGGCGGCGAUUCG
Molecule: ribosomal RNA, 511 nt
Filed under: uncultured bacterium
Lineage: Bacteria
Description: bacterial SSU rRNA
Rfam family: Bacterial small subunit ribosomal RNA
Source: RNAcentral